Lytechinus pictus (painted urchin) is the source of this 3284-nucleotide long non-coding RNA. RefSeq lists it as uncharacterized. Lineage: Eukaryota; Metazoa; Echinodermata; Echinoidea; Temnopleuroida; Toxopneustidae. The record is from RefSeq and is a predicted model, not a curated record. The transcript is spliced from 4 exons.
GCUGCGUGCGCGUUCAGCACAAAACAAAUGAGAUUAGGCUCCGCCUACCGCGAUCAUUUGAAGACAAAAAUAAGCCCUCAUUGACAUUCAUGAGCAUGAAGAUAUUCAUAAUCCGGCCUUUUCAUUGGCUAAGAGCGUCAUUAAUACGCGAUUUCCCCGAUUCUUUGUCAUCGAUACUAGUGGUAUCGUGUUACAGAAUUAAUUAUUCAUUUGACCUCAUUACGUCAUCUAAUUUAUUCAUUAUGAAACUUUUCUUUCCACACAAAAAUGGACCUACGAACACUCCGGUGAGUUGAGUUUGAAGAACAAGAAAAACAGUAGAGGUCUACCCGGUACCUAUGAUCAUAAGUGCAUGUAUCAUUUUGCAGAUUCUCAUCCAGGAUGAUGCAGCUCUACAAUUUCCAUGGAGGUGAUUGAUGAUGAUAAACAAUCGGUGAAGUAGGCCUAAUAGAACAGUGAUAGGACCACAAAGAGAAAUACAACCUGCAGCAGUUAUAUGAGACUGGUGUAACAGAUGUUUUCAUUCAAGAAAUCCAACAAAUUGAAGAGUGACUUAGCUUAGGAAGCACUUGAUAAAGAUGGAAAAGGUGUUUUUUUUUCAAGUCCAAUUUUUUUAAUUUUAUUAUCAUCACAACCCCAAAUUCAUGAAGUAUGAAAUUUCCUGUCGAUUUUCAUUAAAACUGGUUGCAAAAGGAGAAGCUAUAAACAUACAAACAUGGUGACCAUAAACGGGUCCUUCUCAGGUGAAAGGGGCACAGAACAAAUUAUUUAGGAUCACUUUUCUUGGGUAAAAGGGGGCAGUUAUUCGAGAAAGGGCACUUACAAGAAGGCGAGGGGGCACUUUUUAACACUUAAAACGGGCCCUCAGAUGAAAGGGCACAGAACACGUUCGGGGGCAUUUUUUGGUAAAAAUUUGCAUACAAGGAAGAGCACUUGGUAACACCUAAAACAGGUCCUCGUCAGGUGAAAGGGACACAGUACACGUUCGUGAGGGGGCAUUUUUCUUACAUAAAAUUAAAGGCACUUUUCAGUGCUUCAAAAAGUAGGGGGAACUGUGCCCCCCAGGAUCGCUGCCCCUGCAUACAAAAAACAUUUUCGUUCGAUUCAAAGUAUUAACAUACGCUUAAGAAAAAAAGUAAGGCUAAAUCCUCUGAUAAUGUGAUAUUUUUUCUGGCUAUUAAUAAAAUUCACAACUAACCAGAAAAUGCCUUCAUGUCUUUCAUUUGUAUUCAUAUAGUAUUUGUCAAAAUUUGGCAAAAUUCAAAUGAGAUGGAGAUCGAGAGAGAGAAAGAGUGAUGAGAAGGGGGUUGAAAAGAGAUGAGAAAGAAAUGGAGGGGCACAUAUGAAGAGAUAAUUUAGAGGGGGGGGGGGGGGGUAAGAGAGCACGAAUGGUGGGAAGUAGGAACAAAGGGGUGGAAGAGAAAUAAGACGAGAUUUAUGAAAACCAGGAGACAGAUAACAAGUGGGAAAAGAAGAAGGAAAUAUGUGUAGGAGAAAGGCGGCACCAAAAUAACGUGAGUGGGAAAAUUAUUAAAUGUAAAAACAGAGCAAGAAAUGCUGGAGAAUAGAGGGGACAGGAAACGUAUUAAACAUGAUAAACUGGGGCCCGUUUCAUCAUGAGUUACAAGUAUGGUAAUUGUGAUUGGUUAUACCCGUUACCAUCGUAGUUAACUACGAUGUUAACUGCUAUAACCAAUCAUAAUCUAGGUUACCACGGUAAUCACAAUAACAGAGAUGUUUAAAUAGCUGUAAUUCAUUAUGAAACGGACGCCAGAUGAAGAAAACAGGCACGGGGAUCCAUGAGGGGGCCGGCCCCUUACGUAUUAUACCUUGAACAAAAGAUUUUUUUUUUGCUUCUCGAAAUUUGUAACAAGAAAUGUACUCUAUUAGUGGUGACAGUUAUUUUUUUUCAAUAACCAUACUCAACCAGUGAAAAUUACCAUCAAAUUGUAAUAACCAUGUUCUGCCCCCACCCGCCCCCCCCCCCUAGAAAAAAAAAAGACUUUUGGGUCAGUGCAACAGCCCCCUUUGAUCCGUUCGGCGGCCUCUGCCGACUAUGUAGAGUCUAGAUUCAAUUAAAUUAUUUUAUUUUCCACUUUCAAUUUCAUAUUUACAAUUAUGAUACAAUUGACAAAGUAACAUAUAAUCACAAUUGAAGUACAUACAAAAAUUGACAACAUUAUAAAAUUACAAUAGACAAUGAUCAAAUCGAAAUAUAAAUGAUUGAAAGGGAGGGAGGGCCAACUGAAAAGCAGAGCUUGUAUAAUGUAGGCCCCCCUAAUAUUGAUUAAUUAAUAUUGAUUCUUCACAUUUGUUAAAAACUAAGAUUGCUGUAUAUCUUAACAUGUGACAAUUUGGGGAUGGCAAAAGCACAUGAGACCUCUUUAACUAAUCACGACUUGAAUACUACUCUUUUCAUCUUCCCUUUAUAGGCCUAUAAGACACAAUACAAACAAUAUGCUUUGUUUUUAAGUGAUAUCGAUUGUGAUAUCGAUACUUUAUUGAGCGCAAUGUAUCGUCUCAGAUUUGCGCUUGCUUGAUUCGCUGAAUCCUUCGCGUCACGAGCGCGUAACAAAAUGAAUACAUUAAUGAAUUUGCCAAGUUGACCUUUGUCAUUGCGCUGAUGUGCGUAUUGUCUAAUACACGUACAAAACCACAGUCGACGAGGGAGCAUCGUACGAAAUUAAUAUUAAUGAGGGCUUAUUUUAGCUUCUAAUGGAUUAAACAAAAUGGCGGUAGCUUCGGGGGCUUGGUUGCUGCCAUAGAGAUGUAUACUAACUACGCGUAUACAUCUCUAUGGUUGCUGCCCGCUUGUGUGUUGCUGCCCUCUACGUUCGUUGGAUCUAACUUUAGAUCUAUGACUACGCCUAGCUACGGAGUAUACCCAGUUGUUGUGUGUCCGGACAGGUUGUGUGUCCGGACGAUCAAUUUUAGAAAGUACGGUAUACCGUAUUAUGGAGUCGCCUGGAGCUUCAAUUCAGCAACGUCACAACGUUAAAGUGACAAGUCAUCAUGUUGUGGAGUGGUAUAGAGGUGGAUUAAUGUAUCCACCUCUAGCUCUAUGGAGUAGAGUUCUAAUCACAAAAUUUACCCAAAAUUCGAGCGGAGUAACCUUCCUUAUAUUUAGACUAGAGCAACACGGUCGUCAGAGUUAUUAAUAGAAUGUCUAUUGAUAACUCUGACGGUCGUCAGAUGGUCGUCAAGGUCAAGGCCCUAUGUUUAUAUAGGGCCUUGACGGUCGUGUGCUGCUGCCAUCUACGUUCGUGGAUCCAAAAUGCUCCGGG